GCGCACGUGGCGGAAUUGGCAGACGCGCUACUUUGAGGUGGUAGUGGAGUAAUCCGUGCAGGUUCAAGUCCUGCCGUGCGCACCA
RNAcentral lists this transfer RNA (85 nucleotides) under Verrucomicrobiales bacterium. RNAcentral's name for it is "tRNA-Leu". It matches the Rfam family "tRNA". Rfam says of the family: Transfer RNA (tRNA) molecules are approximately 80 nucleotides in length. Their secondary structure includes four short double-helical elements and three loops (D, anti-codon, and T loops). Lineage: Bacteria; Pseudomonadati; Verrucomicrobiota; Verrucomicrobiia; Verrucomicrobiales. The record is from RNAcentral. RNAcentral also lists the same sequence under 1 other name.